RNAcentral lists this ribosomal RNA (25 nucleotides) under Cephalotaxus koreana. Its description in RNAcentral is "partial 28S ribosomal RNA". The record is from RNAcentral. Lineage: Eukaryota; Viridiplantae; Streptophyta; Pinopsida; Cupressales; Taxaceae.
CCCCGUCCCCAGGUCAGGCGUGAAU